Molecule: ribosomal RNA, 719 nt
Filed under: Nostoc sp. 'Peltigera sp. K38 cyanobiont'
Lineage: Bacteria; Bacillati; Cyanobacteriota; Cyanophyceae; Nostocales; Nostocaceae
Description: bacterial SSU rRNA
Rfam family: Bacterial small subunit ribosomal RNA
Source: RNAcentral
GUCGAACGGUGCUUUCGGGCACAGUGGCGGACGGGUGAGUAACGCGUGAGAAUCUGGCUUCAGGUCUGGGACAACCACUGGAAACGGUGGCUAAUACCGGAUGUGCCGAAAGGUGAAAGGUUAACUGCCUGAAGAUGAGCUCGCGUCUGAUUAGCUAGUUGGAAGUGUAAUGGACUCCCAAGGCGACGAUCAGUAGCUGGUCUGAGAGGACGAUCAGCCACACUGGGACUGAGACACGGCCCAGACUCCUACGGGAGGCAGCAGUGGGGAAUUUUCCGCAAUGGGCGAAAGCCUGACGGAGCAAUACCGCGUGAGGGAGGAAGGCUCUUGGGUCGUAAACCUCUUUUCUCAGGGAAGAACACAAUGACGGUACCUGAGGAAUAAGCAUCGGCUAACUCCGUGCCAGCAGCCGCGGUAAUACGGAGGAUGCAAGCGUUAUCCGGAAUGAUUGGGCGUAAAGCGUCCGCAGGUGGCUAUGUAAGUCUGCUGUUAAAGAGUCUAGCUCAACUAGAUAAAAGCAGUGGAAACUACAUUGCUAGAGUACGUUCGGGGCAGAGGGAAUUCCUGGUGUAGCGGUGAAAUGCGUAGAGAUCAGGAAGAACACCAGUGGCGAAGGCGCUCUGCUAGGCCGUAACUGACACUGAGGGACGAAAGCUAGGGGAGCGAAUGGGAUUAGAUACCCCAGUAGUCCUAGCCGUAAACGAUGGAUACUAGGCGUG